RNAcentral lists this ribosomal RNA (423 nucleotides) under uncultured bacterium. Its description in RNAcentral is "partial 16S ribosomal RNA". It matches the Rfam family "Bacterial small subunit ribosomal RNA", at positions 360 to 774 of the family's 1533-position model. The record is from RNAcentral.
AAUCUUCCGCAAUGGACGAAAGUCUGACGGAGCAACGCCGCGUGAGUGAUGAAGGUCUUCGGAUCGCAAAACUCUGUUGUUAGGGAAGAACAAGUAUCGUUCGAAUAGGGCGGUACCUUGACGGUACCUAACCAGAAUGCCACGGCUAAGUACGUGCCCGCAGCCGCUGUAAUACGUAGGUGGCAAACGUUAUCCGGAAGUAUUUGGCGGAAAGCGCGCGCAGGAGGUUGCUUAAGUCUGAUGUGAAAGCCCACGGCCCAACCGUGGAGGGUCAUUGGAAACUGGGAAGCUUGAGUGCAGAAGAGGAGAGUGGAAUUCCAUGUGUAGCGGUGAAAUGCGUAGAGAUAUGGAGGAACACCAGUGGCGAAGGCGACUCUCUGGUCUGCAACUGACGCUGAGGCGCGAAAGCGUGGGGAGCGAACA